ACACGUGGGCAAUCUGCCCUGCACUCUGGGACAAGCCCUGGAAACGGGGUCUAAUACCGGAAUAAUACUGUGCCCCUCCUGGGGGACGGUUGAAAGGUCCGGCGGUGCAGGAUGAGCCCGCGGCCUAUCAGCUUGUUGGUGGGGUAAUGGCCUACCAAGGCGACGACGGGUAGCCGGCCUGAGAGGGCGACCGGCCACACUGGGACUGAGACACGGCCCAGACUCCUACGGGAGGCAGCAGUGGGGAAUAUUGCACAAUGGGGCGAAAGC
This 270-nucleotide ribosomal RNA is filed under the name Streptomyces sp. RNAcentral's name for it is "partial 16S ribosomal RNA". It matches the Rfam family "Bacterial small subunit ribosomal RNA", at positions 113 to 382 of the family's 1533-position model. The record is from RNAcentral. Lineage: Bacteria; Bacillati; Actinomycetota; Actinomycetes; Kitasatosporales; Streptomycetaceae.